This 799-nucleotide unclassified non-coding RNA is filed under the name Anthonomus grandis grandis. RNAcentral's name for it is "uncharacterized LOC126734931". The record is from RNAcentral. Lineage: Eukaryota; Metazoa; Arthropoda; Insecta; Coleoptera; Curculionidae.
CGUUUGUUUUAACAGAAAAAGAACGGCGUAAACCAUAUACCUAUAAACUCCAAUACUCAUCUUAUCAUUACUAGUGUAAGUAGUAAAUUUUGAAGCCAAGAAAGAGAGAAAGCAAUAUUAAACAUAAUGUUAAUUUGGCAUAAGUCUAUUGCGUAGUGGAAAACUCCGUCGUUCAAGCUUUGGCCAAUUAGCGGGUUCCUUGGUUAGACUUGAUGAUGACCCACUGUUGCCUCUGGAUAAAUUCCAUCCCGCAUUAUCAGUCGAGCUUCUAUUCGUGCAACACACUUCAAGCCUAAACUCACAUGUUGAGAAACAUUUAGAACUUCUAAAACUGGAGGUACAAAAGCCCCUAAAAUCCAUCUGGCACUUCAUAGAAGAACUGGCUCAUAUAGUAAAGAAAUCCUGGGAUCUAUCAACUGUACCACUAAAACCAUUUCCAGAGUACCAGCACAUACAAAAGAUAGCAAGUCAUAUCUACAAAAGGGAUGUUUCAACAGCCAAUGGAACCUUAAAUGUGACCCUAAUAAGGGAAAGUAUUUUUAUCCCAUUGUUGGCGAUCUGUGACCUAAUGUCCAGAUCGCCCUUAAUAAAUACAAAUCCAGUAUUGUUGGUGGCGCUAUUAAUUGUGAGAGCUUGCCUGGCCUCUGUGGAUGGUGUAUUGAAUUAUGUCAGUAGGGCUGAGGAUAGCGGUGAGAUUCUAAAGGAGGUUCAACAGAGUUUUAAAGAAGUUUUUGUCUCAUAGCAUUUUAAAAUAUGUUCGUGGUUUAAUAUCAGAAAUAAACGUCUUAUUAGUUUAAUA